Molecule: ribosomal RNA, 551 nt
Filed under: Megaphragma funiculatum
Lineage: Eukaryota; Metazoa; Arthropoda; Insecta; Hymenoptera; Trichogrammatidae
Description: partial large subunit ribosomal RNA
Source: RNAcentral
AAACCGUUCAGGGGUAAACCUGAGAAACCCAAAAGAUCGAAUGGGGAGAUUCAUCGUCAGCUUUUUCGGCUUGCGUGCUGCUCGCGAUGCUUGUCUCGGAGCGUUAAUAGCGCUUUUUUGGACGAGCACGCUGUGGCUGCGCGUGCCCGUUGAAGUCGGCGUGCACUUCUCCCCUAGUAGGACGUCGCGACCCGUUGAGUGUCGGUCAAAGGCCCGUUGCGGUCGCCUGCCGGUGCGCAGCGGUUUCGGCCGUUUGCGCCGCCGGUAGACCCUUUGGUCGCCCGACCGACUGCUCGGCGGUAUAAAUUUUUUCGAAAGUUCAAUGGUAUCGAGCCGCAUGAAUUUAAUUUGAAUGCGUUCUUAUGGCUCGUCGGCAGGUGAGCCUCGUCUCGGAUUUUACGGACCUAGCGCCGUUGUCGAGCGUGGGCUUGCCGUUUCGCCGACGAUGUCCUCGGACGGGCUCUAUAAAGGGCAUUUAUGCCCUUUUGUUACCAGUCAGCGACGCUACUGCUUUGGGUACUUUCAGGACCCGUCUUGAAACACGGACCAAC